AUACGUAGGGGGCGAGCGUUGUCCGGAAUUAUUGGGCGUAAAGGGCGCGUAGGCGGUGACGUAAGUCAGGUGGUAAAGGCACGGGCUCAACCGGUGUUAAGAACCUGAUACUACGUUGCUAGAGUGCAGGAGAGGGAAGUGGAAUUCCAGGUGUAGCGGUGAAAUGCGUAGAUAUCUGGAAGAACACCAGUGGCGAAGGCGGCUUUCUGGACUGUAACUGACGCUGAGGCGCGAAAGCUGGGGGAGCAAACAGGAUUAGAUACCCUGGUAGUCCCAGCCGUAAACGAUGAACACUAGGUGUAGGGGGUAUCGACCCCCCCUGUGCCGCAGUUAACGCAAUAAGUGUUCCGCCUGGGGAGUACGGCCGCAAGGUUGAA
This 377-nucleotide ribosomal RNA is filed under the name uncultured bacterium. Its description in RNAcentral is "bacterial SSU rRNA". It matches the Rfam family "Bacterial small subunit ribosomal RNA", at positions 523 to 898 of the family's 1533-position model. The record is from RNAcentral.